Pantherophis guttatus is the source of this 923-nucleotide non-coding RNA. Lineage: Eukaryota; Metazoa; Chordata; Lepidosauria; Squamata; Colubridae. The record is from RefSeq and is a predicted model, not a curated record.
UCUUCAAUGUAGUCUGGCUGCCACUUUUGCUAGUCAUUUGGUUCACACUACUGUGCUAUCCAGGAUGCACCACAAGGAGGCGAACUAGCAUCACACCCCAGUGAAGGGCUGACAACUCUCUAUAUAGUCCCUCUCUUUCAGCCCAACUCACCUCGCAGAAUUGCUGUUGUGGAAAAAUAAGUGGAGGAAGGAGUAACAGGUACGCUUGCCACCUUGAGUUACCUAUAAAGAUGAGAUAAAAAUCAAAUGAAUAAGAGAUUAAUAUUGCAGAGUAGAGGGCCCAGAAGUGAAGCAUGUGAUCUUGUGCGCAAGCUUGAUCCACAAUCAUUAGCAGAGCAUUUUUUGUAUACAUUUGGAACCAACUACCGUCACUGCAACUUCUUUCUGCUUUCUACAAGAUGUUGGUGGAAUACCUGUGUUCCUGUUGGUAAAGACUAAAUGAAAAUAGGAGCUGAGUAGGUCUAUCUUUUUCUUCAUCUAGAAGAACAAUGUUGCAUUGAAAUAAUUUCCUUCCUUUGGUCAGAAUCAUCUGACAAAUCGUUCCAUACUAUUUCAACAAGAGUCUGCUAGAUCUUGUGCCAGCCUGGCUCAAUGCAGAGAUAUGCCACCAGGAGGAGCUGCCACGUUAAAUGUGUAUGAAAGGCAAAUAUUUCACUGCCAACUCAUCCUCUGCCUAAGCUGUAGGAGUGAACUGGGUUUGCUACCUGACACGCUGCAAAGUGAGGACUAUUUUAAGACUGUAACCUAUGUGUCAGCACAUAAAACUAUUUAUUUUAUUACAUUAUGCUGUAUUGCAUUGAAUUUAUGUCAUAUAAUUGUAGAUAGCUUUGUUUUUCUAAGCAUGCUGUUUCUUGAAUUCAUGCAACGCAUCCAGACCAAACUUGUUUGUUUGUUUUGUUUUAUUAAAUUGAAAUGAAAUGAAA